RNAcentral lists this long non-coding RNA (1187 nucleotides) under Piliocolobus tephrosceles (Ugandan red Colobus). RNAcentral's name for it is "lncRNA (ENSPTEG00000000576.1)". Lineage: Eukaryota; Metazoa; Chordata; Mammalia; Primates; Cercopithecidae. The record is from RNAcentral.
UAUAAAAUAAUAGAAAGAUAUGUUCUAUAUGUAAUUGAUGAAAUUAAUGAUAAAAAAUAGUUUGGAUUAUAAAGAAAACAUUUUUAAAUUAACUGCUAUUUUAAACGUUAGUUACGAUAUACUAAAUAACAUAUCGGUUAAAAUAUAUAAAGUAAGUUUAUGCGCCUGCAAAAAGGGGUGUGAGAAAUAGACCGCAUGGAAAUCUCCCUUAUUUUAUUUUUUUUUUUUUUUAUUUAUUAUUAUUAUUAUUAUUAUUUUUUUUUUUUUUCACAUUAAUGUGUUUACAUAUAGGGAUAGGAUCAAUGCGCCUACGCGUGUUUACUUAUACAUUUAUAUGUGUUUAUAUGGUCAUACAUUUACAUGGUUAUACGUUUACAUGGUUAUACGUUUACAUGGUNNNNNNNNNNUUAUACAUUUACAUGGUUAUACGUUUACAUGGUUAUACGUUUACAUGUUUAUACAUUUACAUGGUUAUACGUUUACAUGGUUAUUUUUUUUUUUUUUUUUUGUGACUUUUACAGGAAUACAUAAAAGAUCAAAAGUUAAACAGUAUAAACUCUUUAGAUGAUUUUUUCCAAUUUUUGUUUAACAUGAGUAAAGAAAAACAAAAAGAAAUUGUAUUGGCACAUUUAGAAAAACAAAUACAGGAGUAUUUAAAAAGUAAUAUAGAGUACCAGGAUAAAAUGCAAAAAGUACAUGAUGUCAUUUUUUUUAUAAAUAAUAAUUUACAUAUUCAGAAAAAUGUGUUUAAUAUAUCAUACAUAAGUUCUGAAACAGUUUAUGAGUUUUUAACAUCUUGUAUUAAUGACUAUUUGAAUAAUAAUAAAAAUAAACUAUCCUUUAUGGAGGACCAUAACAAGUAUAUAGUGGAUUUAAGAAAAUAUAUAGACAAAAUUAUGAUUAUGAUAAAAGGAAAAGAAGAAAAUCAUCACCUUCAACAUAUUUUUAACAUUUUGAAAAGAGACAUAAUAAAAAAGGCUAUCUACUUUUUGGACAAAUUUAAAUAUGAUGUGUGCGUAGAAGAAAUUUACAACUUAAUUAAGCUUCAAAUGGUUGAUGAAAAAAAUAAUUUCUCCGAUAUAGAUAUUUAUAAAAGAAAAAAAUUGAUCAACAUUUUCUCAUACCAAGAUAUUAGCGAUGAAAAAAAGAUGCUUUACAUGGAUAUUCUGAAUAAAGCCUUGUUGUAA